RNAcentral lists this ribosomal RNA (844 nucleotides) under uncultured Actinomycetes bacterium. Its description in RNAcentral is "bacterial SSU rRNA". It matches the Rfam family "Bacterial small subunit ribosomal RNA", at positions 11 to 861 of the family's 1533-position model. The record is from RNAcentral. Lineage: Bacteria; Bacillati; Actinomycetota; Actinomycetes.
GUUUGAUCCUGGCUCAGGACGAACGCUGGCGGCGUGCCUAACACAUGCAAGUCGAACGAGGUCCAUGCAGUGGCAACACUGCGGACGACCUAGUGGCGAACGGGUGAGUAACACGUGAGGAACUUGCCCCGGAGACCGGGAUAAGCCCCCGAAAGGGGGUCUAAUACCGGAUGUCCUCACCGAGUCGCAUGGCUUGGUGAGGAAAUGGAUUCCGCUCCGGGAGAGCCUCGCGGCCUAUCAGCUAGUUGGUGGGGUAACGGCCCACCAAGGCAUCGACGGGUAGCUGGUCUGAGAGGACGAUCAGCCACACUGGGACUGAGACACGGCCCAGACUCCUACGGGAGGCAGCAGUGGGGAAUCUUGCGCAAUGGGCGAAAGCCUGACGCAGCAACGCCGCGUGCGGGAUGAAGGCCUUCGGGUUGUUAACCGCUUUCAGUGGGGACGAACCAAGACGGUACCCACAGAAGAAGGUCCGGCCAACUACGUGCCAGCAGCCGCGGUAACACGUAGGGACCAAGCGUUGUCCGGAUUCAUUGGGCGUAAAGAGCUCGUAGGCGGUUCGAUAAGUCGGGUGUGAAACCUCCAGGCUCAACCUGGAGACGCCACCCGAUACUGUCGUGACUAGAGUCCAGUAGGGGAGCGUGGAAUUCCUGGUGUAGCGGUGAAAUGCGCAGAUAUCAGGAGGAACACCAGCGGCGAAGGCGGCGCUCUGGGCUGGAACUGACGCUGAGGAGCGAAAGCGUGGGGAGCGAACAGGAUUAGAUACCCUGGUAGUCCACGCCGUANACGUUGGGUACUAGGUGUGGGGUCUUAUCAACGGAUUCCGUGCCGAAGCUAACGCAUU